GACGAACGCUGGCGGCGUGCUUAACACAUGCAAGUCGAGCGGUAAGGCCCUUUCGGGGUACGACGAGCGGCGAACGGGUGAGUAACACGUGGGUGACCUGCCCUCAGCUCUGGGAUAAGCCUGGGAAACUGGGUCUAAUACUGGAUAUGACUCCACGGUGCAUGUCGUGGGGUGGAAAGCCUUGUGCGGCUGAGGAUGGGCCCGCGGCCUAUCAGCUUGUUGGUGGGGUGAUGGCCUACCAAGGCGACGACGGGUAGCCGGCCUGAGAGGGCGACCGGCCACACUGGGACUGAGACACGGCCCAGACUCCUACGGGAGGCAGCAGUGGGGAAUCUUGCGCAAUGGGCGAAAGCCUGACGCAGCGACGCCGCGUGAGGGAUGACGGCCUGGUGUAAC
RNAcentral lists this ribosomal RNA (396 nucleotides) under uncultured bacterium. Its description in RNAcentral is "bacterial SSU rRNA". It matches the Rfam family "Bacterial small subunit ribosomal RNA", at positions 28 to 429 of the family's 1533-position model. The record is from RNAcentral.